GGCCUUGCGCUCUUUGAGCGGCCGAUGUCAGAUUAGCUAGUUGGUGAGGUAAAGGCUUACCAAGGCGACUAUCUGUAGCGGGUCUGAGAGGAUGAUCCGCCACACUGGAACUGAGACACGGUCCAGACUCCUACGGGAGGCAGCAGUGGGGAAUUUUGGACAAUGGGGGCAACCCUGAUCCAGCCAUGCCGCGUGAGUGAAGAAGGCCUUCGGGUUGUAAAGCUCUUUCGGCCGGGAAGAAAUCGCAUGGGCCAAUACCCUGUGUGGAUGACGGUACCGGAAUAAGAAGCACCGGCUAACUACGUGCCAGCAGCCGCGGUAAUACGUAGGGUGCGAGCGUUAAUCGGAAUUACUGGGCGUAAAGCGUGCGCAGGCGGUUUUGUAAGACAGGCGUGAAAUUCCCGGGCUUAACCUGGGAACUGCGUUUGUGACUGCAAGGCUAGAGUACGGCAGAGGGGGGUGGAAUUCCACGUGUAGCAGUGAAAUGCGUAGAGAUGUGGAGGAACACCAAUGGCGAAGGCAGCCCCCUGGGUCGAUACUGACGCUCAUGCACGAAAGCGUGGGUAGCAAACAGGAUUAGAUACCCUGGUAGUCCACGCCCUAAACUAUGUCAACUAGGUGUUGGGUGGGUAAAACCAUUUAGUACCGUAGCUAACGCGUGAAGUUGACCGCCUGGGGAGUACGGCCGCAAGGUUAAAACUCAAAGGAAUUGACGGGGACCCGCACAAGCGGUGGAUGAUGUGGAUUAAUUCGAUGCAACGCGAAAAACCUUACCUACCCUUGACAUGCCAGGAACUUGCCAGAGAUGGCUUGGUGCCCGAAAGGGAGCCUGGACACAGGUGCUGCAUGGCUGUCGUCAGCUCGUGUCGUGAGAUGUUGGGUUAAGUCCCGCAACGAGCGCAACCCUUGUCGUUAAUUGCCAUCAUUUAGUUGGGCACUUUAACGAGACUGCCGGUGACAAACCGGAGGAAGGUGGGGAUGACGUCAAGUCCUCAUGGCCCUUAUGGGUAGGGCUUCACACGUCAUACAAUGGUCGGUACAAAGGGUUGCCAAGCCGCGAGGCGGAGCCAAUCCCAGAAAGCUGAUCGUAGUCCGGAUUGCAGGCUGCAACUCGCCUGCAUGAAGUCGGAAUCGCUAGUAAUCGUGGAUCAGCAUGUCACGGUGAAUACGUUCCCGGGUCUUGUACACACCGCCCGUCACACCAUGGGAGCGGGUUCCGCCAGAAGUAGGUAGCCUAACCGCAAGGGGGGCGCUUACCACGGCGGGGUCC
Molecule: ribosomal RNA, 1270 nt
Filed under: metagenome
Description: bacterial SSU rRNA
Rfam family: Bacterial small subunit ribosomal RNA
Source: RNAcentral